This 36-nucleotide small RNA is filed under the name Arabidopsis thaliana (thale cress). RNAcentral describes it as "ATSL167250". The record is from RNAcentral. Lineage: Eukaryota; Viridiplantae; Streptophyta; Magnoliopsida; Brassicales; Brassicaceae.
AACUUUCGGUUCAGAGUUCAUAGUAGCCUUUCUUGC